UACGUAGGGGGCAAGCGUUGUCCGGAAUCAUUGGGCGUAAAGAGCGUGUAGGCGGCCCGGUAAGUCCGCUGUAAAAGUCAAAGGCUCAACCUUUGAAUGUCAGUGGAUACUGCCGGGCUAGAGUCCGGAAGAGGCGAGUGGAACUCCUGGUGUAGCGGUGGAAUGCGCAGAUAUCAGGAAGAACACCAAUAGCGAAGGCAGCUCGCUGGGACGGUACUGACGCUGAGGCGCGAAAGCGUGGGGAGCGAACAGG
Molecule: ribosomal RNA, 253 nt
Filed under: uncultured bacterium
Lineage: Bacteria
Description: partial 16S ribosomal RNA
Rfam family: Bacterial small subunit ribosomal RNA
Source: RNAcentral